AGAGUUUGAUCAUGGCUAAGAACGAACGCUGGCGGCGUGGAUAAGACAUGCAAGUCGAACGGGACUUUGAGAGUAGCAAUACAAUCGAAGUUCAGUGGCGUAAGGGUGCGUAACACGUGGGCAACCUGCCGGAAAAUGGGGAAUAGCUCGCCGAAAGGCGAAUUAAUACCGCAUGUGAUCAUCUUCCGCAUGGGAGAGACAUUAAAGUCGGGGAUCGCAAGACCUGACGUUUUCCGAUGGGCCCGCGGCCUAUCAGCUUGUUGGCGAGGUAACGGCUCACCAAGGCGAUGACGGGUAGCUGGUCUGAGAGGACGACCAGCCACACUGGAACUGAGACACGGUCCAGACACCUACGGGUGGCAGCAGUCGAGAAUCUUUCACAAUGGGGGAAACCCUGAUGGAGCGACGCCGCGUGGAGGAUGAAGGUCUUCGGAUUGUAAACUCCUGUCAUGAAAGAACAAGGUCUUACGGCUAAUACCCGGAAGGAUUGAUAGUAUUUCAAGAGGAAGAGACGGCUAACUCUGUGCCAGCAGCCGCGGUAAUUC
This 545-nucleotide ribosomal RNA is filed under the name uncultured bacterium. RNAcentral describes it as "bacterial SSU rRNA". It matches the Rfam family "Bacterial small subunit ribosomal RNA", at positions 8 to 526 of the family's 1533-position model. The record is from RNAcentral.